GACGUAGGGCGCGAGCGUUGUCCGGAUUUAUUGGGCGUAAAGAGCUCGUAGGCGGCUUGUCGCGUCGACUGUGAAAACCCGCGGCUCAACUGCGGGCCUGCAGCCGAUACGGGCAGGCUAGAGUUCGGUAGGGGAGAGUGGAAUUCCUGGUGUAGCGGUGAAAUGCGCAGAUAUCAGGAAGAACACCUAUGGCGAAGGCAGCUCUCUGGGACGGUACUGACGCUGAGACGCGAAAGCGUGGGGAGCGAACAGG
Molecule: ribosomal RNA, 253 nt
Filed under: uncultured bacterium
Lineage: Bacteria
Description: partial 16S ribosomal RNA
Rfam family: Bacterial small subunit ribosomal RNA
Source: RNAcentral